Molecule: non-coding RNA, 72 nt
Organism: Phrynosoma platyrhinos (Desert horned lizard)
Lineage: Eukaryota; Metazoa; Chordata; Lepidosauria; Squamata; Phrynosomatidae
Source: the annotation of a GenBank genome assembly
GCCAGGGUGUUGCAGUGGUUUGAGUGUUGGACUACAACUCUGGAGACCAGGGUUCAAUUCUCCACUUGGUCA